This 359-nucleotide ribosomal RNA is filed under the name Bathyplax typhlus. RNAcentral's name for it is "partial 12S ribosomal RNA". Lineage: Eukaryota; Metazoa; Arthropoda; Malacostraca; Decapoda; Goneplacidae. The record is from RNAcentral.
CACUAUACUGAAAGGCAGUUAAAGCUAGGUUAUUAGUAGUUAUGUUCUUUAAAUUUAAAGAAUUUGGCGGUGGUUUAGUCUUGUCAGAGGAACCUGUUUUUUAAUCGAUAGUCCACGUAGAAUUUUACUUGCUUUUGUCGUACAGUUUGUAUACCAUCAUUAACAGAUAAUUUUAAGAGAAAAAAUUAUUAAGGUUUAUAAAUAUUAGUAAAAUUAGAUCAAGGUGCAGUUUAUAGGCAAGUUGAAAUGGGUUACAAUAAAUUUUAUUUAUAACGGAAUAGCUAGGAAGGUUAGUUAAGAAGGAGGAUUUGAUUGUAAUUUAAGUUUAGUAUGCUUGGGAGAUAUAAGCUCUAAUCUAU